RNAcentral lists this unclassified non-coding RNA (234 nucleotides) under Solicoccozyma terricola. RNAcentral's name for it is "partial internal transcribed spacer 2". The record is from RNAcentral. RNAcentral also lists the same sequence under 3 other names. Lineage: Eukaryota; Fungi; Basidiomycota; Tremellomycetes; Filobasidiales; Piskurozymaceae.
AAAUAUCAACCUUGACUUGGGUUUAGUGCUCUUGUCUUGGCUUGGAUUUGGCUGUUUGCCGCUCGAAAGAGUCGGCUCAGCUUAAAAGUAUUAGCUGGAUCUGUCUUUGAGACUUGGUUUGACUUGGCGUAAUAAGUUAUUUCGCUGAGGACAAUCUUCGGAUUGGCCGAGUUUCUGGGACGUUUGUCCGCUUUCUAAUACAAGUUCUAGCUUGCUAGACAUGACUUUUUUAUU